CCUACGGGAGGCAGCAGUGGGGAAUAUUGGACAAUGGGGGAAACCCUGAUCCAGCGACGCCGCGUGAGUGAAGAAGUAUUUCGGUACGUAAAGCUCUAUCAGCAGGAAAGAAAAUGACGGUACCUGACUAAGAAGCACCGGCUAACUACGUGCCAGCAGCCGCGGUAAUACGUAGGGGGCCAGCGUUAUCCGGAUUUACUGGGUGUAAAGGGAGCGUAGACGGCAGCGCAAGUCUGGAGGGAAAUGCCGGGGGCCAACCCCGGAACUGCUGUGGAAACUGUGAAGCUGGAGUGCAGGAGAGGUAAGCGGAAUGCCUGGUGUAGCGGUGAAAUGCGUAGAUAUCAGGAGGAACACCGGCGGCGAAGGCAGCUUACUGGACUGUAACUGACGUUGAGGCUCGAAGGCGUGGGGAGCAAACAGGAUUAGAUACCCCAGUAGUC
Molecule: ribosomal RNA, 440 nt
Filed under: uncultured bacterium
Lineage: Bacteria
Description: partial 16S ribosomal RNA
Rfam family: Bacterial small subunit ribosomal RNA
Source: RNAcentral